AAUAUGAUUUGUAUUGCACCGAACGCAAUCAUGUAAGGAUUUCCAUUCACAUGACAUGGAUCUUUAUCCCCAUUACUUUGCUGGCAACUUGUCCGUUGGAUUGCUCUGUUUUUUUUUUCAGUCAUAAUAUAUAGUUAGCACAAAACAAACAAUGAAGCAGACAGAAAAAUCUGAAACCGUUAGAAUCUUGGACAAGUAACUGUAUCAGAUUCGUUAAUACUAGAAUUAAAAAUAAUGAAACACUGACUUUGAAAAUGCAUUAUUGAGCCGGACU
Molecule: long non-coding RNA, 274 nt
Organism: Brassica napus (rape)
Lineage: Eukaryota; Viridiplantae; Streptophyta; Magnoliopsida; Brassicales; Brassicaceae
Exons: 2
Source: RefSeq, a predicted model, not a curated record